This 482-nucleotide ribosomal RNA is filed under the name uncultured bacterium. Its description in RNAcentral is "bacterial SSU rRNA". It matches the Rfam family "Bacterial small subunit ribosomal RNA", at positions 28 to 517 of the family's 1533-position model. The record is from RNAcentral.
GAUGAACGCUAGCGGAAGGCUUAAUACAUGCAAGUCGAGCGGUAGGUGGCUUCGGCCAUUGAGAGCGGCGCACGGGUGAGUAACGCGUACAUGACCUGCCUGUCAGAAGGGGAUAGCCCUGGGAAACUGGGAUUAAUACCCUAUGGUAUUGAUAUUAUGAAUGAUAUCAAUUAAAGUUAAGGCGCUGACAGAUGGAUGUGCGUCUGAUUAGCUAGUUGGUAGGGUAACGGCCUACCAAGGCGACGAUCAGUAGGGGGCGUGAGAGCGUGGUCCCCCANACGGGUACUGAGACACGGACCCGACUCCUACGGGAGCAGCAGUAAGGAAUAUUGGUCAAUGCCCGCAAGGGUGAACCAGCCAUUCCGCGUGGAGGAUGAAGGCCCUAUGGGUUGUAAACUUCUUUAGAUGGGAAGAAAUGCUAGAUGUAUCUGGUACUGACGGUACAUCAGAAUAAGCACCGGCUAACUCCGUGCCAGCAGCCG